GACGAACGCUGGCGGCGUGCUUAACACAUGCAAGUAGAACGGAAAGGCCCUGCUGUAGUGGGGUGCUCGAGUGGCGAACGGGUGCGUAAGAGGUGAGUACGCUGACCUUGACUUUGGGAUAACUUCGGGAAACUGGGGCUAAUGCUGGCUAGGAGCUCCUGCUGCAAGGUGGGGGAUGGAAAGUUUCGGCGGUUGGGGAUGGACUCGCGGCUUAUCAGAUUGUUGGUGGGGUAGUGGCUUACCAAGGCAUUGGCGGGUAGCCGGCCUGAGAGGGUGACCGGCCACAUUGGGCCUGGGGUACGGCCCGUACUCCUACGUGAGGCAGCAGUGGGGGUUUUUCCACGCUGGGCGGCAGCCGGAUGCAGCAACGCCGCGUCCUGGAUGUCGGCCGUCGGGUUGUAACCCGCUUUCGCCUGGGACGAAGCGUGAGUGACGGUAAUGGGUAAAGAAGCACCGGCUAACUACGUG
This 468-nucleotide ribosomal RNA is filed under the name uncultured bacterium. Its description in RNAcentral is "partial 16S ribosomal RNA". It matches the Rfam family "Bacterial small subunit ribosomal RNA", at positions 28 to 507 of the family's 1533-position model. The record is from RNAcentral.